AGUGAACGCUGGCGGUAGGCCUAACACAUGCAAGUCGAACGGCAGCACAGAGGAGCUUGCUCCUUGGGUGGCGAGUGGCGGACGGGUGAGGAAUACAUCGGAAUCUACUCUGUCGUGGGGGAUAACGUAGGGAAACUUACGCUAAUACCGCAUACGACCUACGGGGGAAAGCAGGGGAUCUUCGGACCUUGCGCGAUUGAAUGAGCGGAUGUCGGAUUAGCUAGUUGGCGGGGUAAAGGCCCACCAAGGCGCCGAUCCGUAGCUGGUCUGAGAGGAUGAUCAGCCACACUGGAACUGAGACACGGUCCAGACUCCUACGGGAGGCAGCAGUGGGGAAUAUUGGACAAUGGGCGCAAGCCUGAUCCAGCCACACCGCGUGGGUGAAGAAGGCCUUCGGGUUGUAAAGCCCCUUUGUUGGGAAAGAAAUCCAUCUGGUUAAUACCCGGGUGGGAUGACGGUACCCAAAGAAUAAGCACCGGCUGACUUCGUGCCAGCCGCCGCGGUAA
RNAcentral lists this ribosomal RNA (506 nucleotides) under uncultured bacterium. Its description in RNAcentral is "partial 16S ribosomal RNA". It matches the Rfam family "Bacterial small subunit ribosomal RNA", at positions 29 to 523 of the family's 1533-position model. The record is from RNAcentral.